UACCCAACGAUUGAGAUCACGUGUGUCUCAAAGACAGUGACCCAACAUUUUUGCAAUGAUGCAAUUUCAUAAACUUUGGAGAAUGCAGUGACUAUAAGGGAGAGCUCAUCCAUGAGAGAGGUACAUGCCAAAAAUCCUUUUUUCAUUCAUUUUAGCACUUACAAAAAUCAUACCAAAAAGGCAUCGCCAAAAAAAAAGAAGAAGAAAAGAAAAGGGGGCA
RNAcentral lists this long non-coding RNA (220 nucleotides) under Elaeis guineensis (African oil palm). Its description in RNAcentral is "long non-coding RNA (EGUI_LNC040060)". Lineage: Eukaryota; Viridiplantae; Streptophyta; Magnoliopsida; Arecales; Arecaceae. The record is from RNAcentral.